Molecule: transfer RNA, 71 nt
Filed under: Loxodonta africana (African savanna elephant)
Lineage: Eukaryota; Metazoa; Chordata; Mammalia; Proboscidea; Elephantidae
Rfam family: tRNA
About the family: Transfer RNA (tRNA) molecules are approximately 80 nucleotides in length. Their secondary structure includes four short double-helical elements and three loops (D, anti-codon, and T loops).
Source: Rfam by way of RNAcentral
GCAGUGGUGGUUCAGUGGUAGGAGUCUCUCCUUCCAUGUGGGAGACCUUGGUUCGAUUCCAAGCCAACGCA